AGUGAACGCUGGCGGUAGGCCUAACACAUGCAAGUCGAGCGGCAGCACAGUAAGAGCUUGCUCUUACGGGUGGCGAGUGGCGGACGGGUGAGGCAUACAUCGGAAUCUACUUUUUCGUGGGGGAUAACGUAGGGAAACUUACGCUAAUACCGAAUAUGACCUACGGGUGAAAGCAGGGGAUCUUCGGACCUUGCGCGAUUGAAUGAGCCGAUGUCGGAUUAGCUAGUUGGCGAGGUAAAGGCCCACCAAGGCGACGAUCCGUAGCUGGUCUGAGAGGAUGAUCAGCCACACUGGAACUGAGACACGGUCCAGACUCCUACGGGAGGCAGCAGUGGGGAAUAUUCGACAAUGGGCGCAAGCCUGAUCCAGCAAUACCGCGUGGGUGAAGAAGGCCUUCGGGUUGUAAAGCCCUUUUGUUGGGAAAGAAAAGCAGCAGGUUAAUACCCCGCUGUUCUGACGGUACCCAAAGAAUAAGCACCGGCUAACUUCGUG
Molecule: ribosomal RNA, 492 nt
Filed under: uncultured bacterium
Lineage: Bacteria
Description: partial 16S ribosomal RNA
Rfam family: Bacterial small subunit ribosomal RNA
Source: RNAcentral